Molecule: long non-coding RNA, 356 nt
Organism: Seriola aureovittata
Lineage: Eukaryota; Metazoa; Chordata; Actinopteri; Carangiformes; Carangidae
Exons: 3
Source: RefSeq, a predicted model, not a curated record
GUCUUCAGCACAGAUUGGAGGCUACAGAGAGUUCCUAUCAGAAAGUGGUGAGACGGGCUGGGGCUAGCUGGUUAGCGUGUUAACAAAAGUUAGCAUGGAUGUUGCUGUCCACCUCUGGACACAGCUGUUGGUGAAGGAAAGGAAUGAAGUUUGUAUGUUGUACUCACAACAUUUAUUCUAGACUGAAAGUUCACCUCCACACCUCCGCUGCUGCUUCAGCAUCAACUUCUCACUCACCCCGGACACCACCAUGCUGAAUCAGUCCAGACACGCAAGUAGCAUAUACCUUCUCUUCUGCAAACCGGAUUUUUAACAGUGUGAACGCAUCCUGUUUAAGCGCCCAAUGACGAGCCCAU